ACAAUAACUCUGCCGACAUAUUCCUUUCCUCCGUAACUUCUCUCAAAUUAGAAAAGCAAUCGACGAUCCUCGUUGUUUCCGAUUCGAAGAUAGAACAAAAUAAUCAGAAGGAGUAAUCUCAUGUCUUGUUCAUCUAUGUGUGUUAUAAAAGAAUAAAAGCUCACAGAGUAAAAGCUCUUUCUCAAGUCUACGGAACAGAGCACGGAGAUCUCAGAUCUGUUCAGAUCUUGUUAAGAACUUGGAUCGAAGAGGAAGUCAAAGAUCUUAUAAAAGCAUGAAGAAAGGAUGCGACAUGAUCCAUCAUCACCGAUCUACGAAGAUAAUGUUGCAUGUGUGAUCCGAUGAUAAAUCUGUUUAUUCCGAUGAGAAUCUGAUGUUUUUGUUUAUGUCCGAAGACGAUCUGAUAAAAUAAAGUAUCUCUUCAUACAUACCAAGCUCGGAAAGCACUGAUCCAGAUAAGUCUCGGACUAUAGGUUUAUUUGGUUGAUUUAGAAUUGACUUACGGUAUAUGUUUUAGAUUUUAGUUAGUUAACUUAAUCAAAUAUACAAUUGAUGUACAUGUGGUGCAGUAUGUUGUACAGAAGAGGAGAUUGAGAAGGACAUUACACAAAGUUAGGAAAGCCUAACAGUACACAGAUAAGUCUCUGCCUAUAGCUUUAUUAUUUGGGUUAUACAUGAGAAACGGUAUACGUUUUAUACUUAGUGAGUUGACUUAAUAUAUACAAUUCAUGUGCAGGUUGGGCAGUCAAAGGUAUAGAGGCAGAAGUUUUAUUCAUUUGAAGGACAUGGGACAGAGACAUGACAGCAAAGAAAUACAAACUAAAAUAUGGUUUGUUGUGCGAUAUGCUCCUCCCGCAGGCCUGACUUGGAAGUUUCUGAUGUUGUGCCAUACUCCAACCAGAAGAAGUCUUCCUUUACUCUCAAAGUAAGUCUUUUUGCAGCUUGCAUGAAUUUUAUGCCCCUUGUACAUGUUACAAUUAAAUAAAUUAGAAAUAUUAACAUCAAUUAAUAUCAAUGCUCAAAUUACACAAUUUUUUUAUAAAAAACUCUAUUCUAUUGAAAAGGUUUGGAUUGCUUACAUUCUCAUCAGCCAAUACGAAUUCCAUGG
Brassica napus (rape) is the source of this 1108-nucleotide long non-coding RNA. RefSeq lists it as uncharacterized. The transcript is spliced from 5 exons. Lineage: Eukaryota; Viridiplantae; Streptophyta; Magnoliopsida; Brassicales; Brassicaceae. The record is from RefSeq and is a predicted model, not a curated record.